UACAGAGGGUGCAAGCGUUAAUCGGAAUUACUGGGCGUAAAGCGCGCGUAGGUGGUUGUGUAAGUUGGAUGUGAAAGCCCCGGGCUUCACCUGGGAAUGGCAUGGGAAACUGGCGGGCUGGAGUGUGGCAGAGGGGGGUGGAAUUCCGCGUGUAGCAGUGAAAUGCGUAGAGAUGCGGAGGAACACCGAUGGCGAAGGCAGCCCCCUGGGCUAACACUGACGCUCAGGCACGAAAGCGUGGGGAGCAAACAGG
Molecule: ribosomal RNA, 253 nt
Filed under: uncultured bacterium
Lineage: Bacteria
Description: partial 16S ribosomal RNA
Rfam family: Bacterial small subunit ribosomal RNA
Source: RNAcentral